GCCACUCUCCACCGUUGCUCCCUCCUUGCGCUGACAUUUUUCUUGUUUUCUGCUGGUGAUGGAGAUCAAAGAGAGGGAGGAGAACGUGGAGGGGUUGAUCAAUGAUUGGGAGGAGGAAAGAGAUGCUGUUGCGAGAGAAAGAGAGAGAAAAGGAGAAGAGAAAGAAGAAUCUGAUUUGCUUUGUCCAGAGAUGCUUUGACGGUUUUCUACAUGACCGUGUAAGUAUCGUAUUGACUUUAUUUAUGAUCAUGCAUGCGAGAUAUUAACUAAACCGGCUUUGCAUAUCAAAGAUUUGGUACCCGAAUUGUAUAUUAAAAAAUAUUUAGGGAAUGUGAUUUCCUUCUUUACCAAAAUAUAUAUACAUGAUGGUUUUAGAAAGUUGUUUAGAUUUGUUUACAGAACUUCGUCAUCAGCAUCAAAUCAUGUCUUUGUAAUAGCAAGUUGCAAAAGUCAAACAAGUUUAGUUGAACGUGUUUGCAAUAUAUAUAUGUCGAUCAUCCUAGAGCAUAAGUAUAUAAAUUCAUUGCAUUUAGGUAUGUUCACAACAUGGAGGCAGAAGAGAUCAUCCAUCACAGUGGUGAGCAGAAUAGAAACUGACCAGCAGCUCCCUCCCUUUUCUCUUCUUUUUCUUAUGGAUCAGUUUAUAGGGUGAAUUAAGUCAAAUAGGAUUCAAAAUAGAGGAAAAAGAGAGGGAGUUGCUGGAUUGUCUUUUCAAGGAUGUUUUGGGAUUAAGCUAAACAGGGGACAUUGCUAGGGAAACACUAAAAUGGGGCACCUCACCAGAAAUGUCUAAAAAGAAAGAUUUUUUCUAGGAAUUCAUCCUUAAAUUUACCUACUUUCUACAACAGAAAAAGUCAAACUAGAAUCCAUCAUUAGAUGAGUGGAUCCACUUUAUUAUUCUGAGAGAAAUCUUUUGCAUUUGGAGUUGGACUUUCACCCAUCAUUGCUUAACAAUUAAGCAAGAUUGCAUUGUUGGUCUUAAGCAGAAAUGCUGUGGCUUCCAUCUGCUGAUGGCAAUAGCUUUUGGGUUGCUUUACAGUUAAGCAAGAUUAAGAUUGCACUGCUAAUGUAAUAGUGAUAUGGGUUCCAUGAACAAUGAAAUUACUGCUGGGUUGAUUAAUACUAGUGAUGCUAUGUGACCCCAAACUGUGGCUGGCACAGUUUCAAUUUUCAUAAACAUCUCAGAAAGUGAACUGGUAGUGAUCAGACACCCUAUUUCUUAUAAGAUUUUGUGUUAAUAACAACCGUUCUUUUUCCAUUUUCUCUGGUAAUUACAGAAAUUUGAGCUUGGAUGAGAUUCCUUGAGCACUCAGUAGACGUAAGCCUGUCAAAUUCACAUGACAUGAUAUAGUGAGCAUAAAAAGAGAGAUCAAGUUCAUGAGAUUUCUCUUAGUACAAGGUUAAAGAAGGAUGAACUAUUAUUAACGAGGUGCUAAUUUAAGAAUAUCGAUCUGAAAACCCUCAUUUUUGCUUCCUAAGGUAGUGAAAAAUUGGUGCUAUCAUUUGAUAGAUUUACUCAAAGCAGGAUGAUUAUGGUUUCUGUCAAGUAACUCAUGGAGCUGCCACUAUGAACAAGUCUGUCGAAACUAAUUGAUAAAGGCACAAAUUCUCUGGAUUCAAAGGCAGACUGUACUGUGAUGGACAAAUUUGAAUCACAGUAUAGAAUCUUGUCUUAGAAAAGUAUUAAUUAGCUCGUAUUGUAAUUGGAAUUCUCAUAAUCAUGGAUUGUGACUCCGAAACACUUCUGAAGUCCUGUCAAAUUUACACUGAAGAGAGGCAGUAUCAUAUCCAUGGAUUGGUGGGCUACAAUUGCUUGGAGCACUGACUUGUUAUUAAAUUUAGGGAUAGCGUGGAGACUAAUAAAAAGGAAGUAUCAAACAUUAAAAUCUGCAGUAAAGAUGGCCACCAAAAAAAGCAGUGGACCAAAGGCACUCAGAACACUGCAUCCUCUUAUCACCAUCCUUUAAUUGCCCUAUAACCAAUACUAUUCUAUGUUAUCACUUGUGCAAUUGGCAGAUUAACUUUCUAAAGUGAUCUCUCAGAUCAUAUCACUUGUGCAAAUGGCAGAUUAACUUUCUAAAGUGAUCUCUCAGAUCAAAUCCUCCUCUCCAAGCUAACAUCUUUCAUCACCAUUACAUGCUCAUCAAAAAGCAUGGGGAAAGGGCACACUACAUUCACAUACAGCAAUCCAAUUCCUUGAGGAGAUGGUUGUGUUUCCUCAGAUUUCUUUUCUCUUUUAUGAGUUCACUUUCUCUACUGCUUUGAUAGUAACUUGAAUUCAAGGUAAUUUUUUUCUCUUUUUUCUUUUGGAGAUAAUCUCCCUUGUCUGUAUGUCAAUGGAUAUGUUCUUUUUUAAUGGGAAAUUUGUAUAUGUAUUUUGCAUUCCAUCUGGUUAACAAAGUGCUUUGUCAUCAAAUGGAUAAGAACAAAUAAUUAAACUUGGACUUGAACCUGUCUCAGACAGGACACUGUUAGAAUUCUAUCAGGACACUGUUAGCAUACUUUGACAUGCUUUAUUCUGUGUGAAUUCUGCUAUACAAAGUGCUUUGCCAUCCAGUGGAUAAGAACAAAUAAUUGAACUUGGACUUGAACCUGACUGUGCCCAUGAGACACUUCGAAUUCUAACAGGGCACUGUUAGCACACCUUGACAUGCAUAUGGUAGAAAAGAUUGGUUCUUGAGAGGAUUUUGGUUUGAACAUAUCAUGACUGGAAACUUGAAUGGGGAAGGAAACUCUGAACAUGUAUCAUACAGAUGCCACAAACUGUUUACAUUUCCUACAGAGACAAAUAAGCAGGAGUUUUUACAGUAAUCCUCACAACAACAUGAACUUUGAUCACACAGACGAAAGGUCUCUAUCAAAGACCAACAAUUUUACAGUAGAAAUGCUUCAUUGCUGAGACAGGAUUCUCCUAAAGCAUUUCACCUCAGUAACAUGGAUACAAAGAGAUCGGGGACUUAUAGGUCCAAUUUAGAGGGCUCUCCAACGCGAUGGGAAGUCGUCUGCUAAGGUAAUUAUCUAUUAUGCUUGGAAGUCAUCAUCAUCUAUCUUCCACAGAGAGUAAGAGCAGUACUCCCAGGUAGGAGAAGGCAUUGUGAGGCGCGAAAUAUCGCAAGCUUCGUCCUUGCACUCCUCGAAGCUCAGCUCACCGAUCAUGUCAGGUGCAGCGAUCUCAUUCCAGAUUUGAUCCAUGGGGUAGCCACUGACAGCGGCAUCAUCAAUCUCUCCCAACGCCGCAGUUAAGCUGCUGCAGCUACUGCUGCUGUUAAGCUCAUGGGCGUUCACAGCCGCAACUUCCGAUGGGGGUUGACAGUCGGCGGCGAAGUUGUCGGUGACCGAGGACGACGAAGACGAUGAAGGAGACGCCUUUUUCUUGCGUUCCUGCGCCUUCUUUCUCAUGUGAGUUCUCCAGUAGUUCUUGAUCUCAUUAUCUGUGCGGCCCGGCAAUCGUCGGGCAAUUCGAGACCACCUAUGGACAGACAGGCUUCAUCAAAAUGGCGCUGUGCACACGAAGAACACAAGGAGGUUUAGAUCGAUGACGGACCUGUUGCCCCAGCGAGAGUGGAGGUCGAGGACGAGGCGCUCUUCCUGGGGGGACAUGCGGCCGCGUUUGAGGCCGGGGUGGAGAUAGUUAACCCAGCGCAACCUGCAGCUCUUGCCUGUUCUGUUGAGACCUACAACAACAACAGAUGAAAGGAGAGGCGGGGUUAAGCAGGUAGCUUCGUCCACCCACCGUCGCCAAAGUAAUCUGCCCACCUAGCCUUCCCCCCCCUCAAACCUGUGACUUUGGCUAGGAAAUCCCAACGACGGUCACCGAAUAAUCCCACAAAGCAUACCAGUUGCAGGUCCUCCUGCUCGGUCCAGGGUCCCUUUCGCAUCACCAUCUUCUUCUUCUCCUUCUUUAUCUCCUCCUCCUCCUCCUCCUCCUGCUUCUGCUGCCUCUCACGGAGCUCUUCCACUGCUCCUCCACUCUCCUUCCCUUCAGCUAAUGGACUGCAGCAGCUACCGCACUACUCAUUUUGUCUGAAUAGUUUGAUAGCCUUUGCUGCGCUACCCUCUUAUUUAUAGGCAGCCCUUUGCUGUGUCAAGUGAUGUCACAAGUGUUUUUGAGGUCCUACAAAGCACAAGAGGUUACAGGACAGAAUUCAAUUAGUAGAUACAGUCUUCCAGGUUUAUAAGGGUCUCCAAAUCUUAUAUUCGAAGGAGUCCAUGCUUUGUCCGAGUCUUAGCAUCAUAUGAUAAUGAUAAGAUUGCCUCUUUAUUGAUUGUAAAGAAAGUAAGGCAGAAACUUUCUUUCCAAGCACAAAUAUGAUUGAGAAUCUUUGUGCUCAUGGCGAUCAUGCGUCUCACUCGAUUGAGCUGAUGCUAUGUUUGAGUGCACUCCAUGGCUCUUACUGCAUAUUGAAGCUCUACAUCAUUCAGGGAAGAUGAGUUUCUAUUACAAAUAAUAUCUUAAUGUUCUUUUUGGAUUAGAUCCUGAAACAGGCAUUAAGUUUAUUUGCUGUUCCAAAUUUGGAUAGGAAAACUUUUCUGAGUCCUACUCUAAUCCUAGUCCUACUCAAUCAAAAAAACUAGUCUACAUAUAAAUAGGAUUUAGCUUAGAAGAAUUUAUGAAUGCCUCUCAGGGGUGGUUUGGAGAUUAAGAGUGACUCUCUUAGAACUUCUUCUCUAUUGUUCUGUCAACAUAUUCUUGUUGGUUUCUUAUGUUGAUCUAAUAUGGUUGUAUGCACUAUUCCCAGACCACUAUUAAUAUGAAAUUAAGAGAACAUAUGUGAUUUUUCUGUAUUAAUCUAACAUCAUAUGUGAAAUGACGCAACUAAGCUUUUUAGGUUAAGUUGAGACAACAAGCAUCACCCAUACACUGGUCAGAAUAGUUGAGUUGCUUCGUAGUCUGACCUCCAUGUUCCUGGGAUUGCCUAACUUAGUAGGACGACCUGCCUAUCUAUUCCCUUCUUAAUGAGUUGGCUCAUCUCAAAUGAUAAAGAAUGACCUCUUUUCUAAAGACCUGUAAUGUUAAGCUUUCCUCCUUUUUGCCAAAUGCUCCUUUAAGGAUAAAGUACGUUUGUUUAAUCUGAGUUAGUGCUACAUUAACACAUUAACCAGUACAAUUCUACUAACACAACACGUGAGCCAGUACAAAUUGUACUAACUUGAACUGUGUAUCUGAAGGUCAACUAUCCUCCAUUCAAACAGAUGUAUCUAUCAGCAUAUUUCCUUAUGCAAUCAUUACACACUGUAAGAGGCUGUAGAUAUGAAACCAAGAAUAAGCUGUCUAUUCGGAUAAGAAGAAGGGAUGUGAAAGACUAUGUUGAAUCUUCUUGGGCUUCUAAUUUACUGUGGCAAAAUGGCAACUUGGCCACUCAUGCUUCUCUUUCUGAUCGCUGUCGGUAUUGCUAAGUAUCUUCAGCUUUGCAUGCGCGUCCGGGGAGACGCAUGUUCGUGACCUCAUGGACACACACAGCUUAAGAACUCGAUCUCAUUGGACACGCAUGCGAGCUGGAUAGGGUAUCAACUUGUGGCGGUUGUUUUGGGCACAGUUUAAGAUAUGGCCAAUGGAUGGAAAAGGAAGCGUCGAUGUCAGUGGUGUAUGUGUUGCACAACGAUGCAGAUUCCAAGUGCAAAGCCACGAGAUCUAGUGGUUCUCUGUGAGCCACGACUUCAUGUUCUUGGGCUGAGAAGGUUGCUUGGGAAAGAAACACAGGGCUACGCCGCCUGGAUUUGACAGGAAUGAACUCCAUGGAAGUGCAAGAGUCACCGAAGAAGAAAAGCUAAGCCAACUUGACGUGGAGGCAACCAAUAUGUGGGCAGCAGCAUGUCGACAUAUCUGAGGUAGCAGAUCCUUUAUCUGCAUUAUAAGGAAAAGGAGGAACACUGUAGCAAGUUUGUCGGCUUUGUUGUUGGUGAGGCAGGUUGCUCACUAUGCACUGUCGCGCUCAGCACAGUGUCAAAUGCCAUCAUGGCCAUGGCAAAUCUGGUGGAGAGUUUGGUUUCAGGCGAUUCCACAGUAGCUCAGUUUUGUGGAUCAAGAUGGUGGAGGGUUCCGAUUUCUUCAGCCGUCUCCAUCGGGAUUCAUGGCGGGUUUGCUGGGGUCGAGGCAUGAAGUAGUGGACCCUGAGAUUUCAGCUACGGAAGCUCUGCAGGACUGACUCACUUAAACCCUAACAUGGUUCUGUUUAAAGAACGUCGGGUUGGAAGAUUAAGGUCACACGUAUUCUAAUGGAGGCAUGCAUGAACAUUUGAUGGGUAUUGGUCUUCUUCCACCAAAGCAG
Molecule: long non-coding RNA, 6269 nt
Filed under: Musa acuminata (dwarf banana)
Lineage: Eukaryota; Viridiplantae; Streptophyta; Magnoliopsida; Zingiberales; Musaceae
Description: long non-coding RNA (MACU_LNC000901)
Source: RNAcentral